UAGUUGGAUCCUGGCUCAGGACGAACGCUGGCUGCGUGCUUAACACAUGCAAGUCGAACGCUGAAGCCCUGGUGCUUGCACCGGGGUGGAUGAGUGGCGAACGGGUGAGUAACACGUGAGUAACCUGCCCCCGACUUCGGGAUAAGCCCGGGAAACUGGGUCUAAUACCGGAUAUGACGACCGAAGGCAUCUUUGGUUGUGGAAAGUUUUUUCGGUUGGGGAUGGGCUCGCGGCCUAUCAGUUUGUUGGUGAGGUAAUGGCUCACCAAGACGACGACGGGUAGCCGGCCUGAGAGGGCGACCGGCCACACUGGGACUGAGACACGGCCCAGACUCCUACGGGAGGCAGCAGUGGGGAAUAUUGCACAAUGGGGGAAACCCUGAUGCAGCGACGCAGCGUGCGGGAUGACGGCCUUCGGGUUGUAACCGCUUUCAGCAGGGAAGAACCCCUUGGGGUGACGGUCCUGCAGAAGAAG
Molecule: ribosomal RNA, 475 nt
Filed under: uncultured bacterium
Lineage: Bacteria
Description: bacterial SSU rRNA
Rfam family: Bacterial small subunit ribosomal RNA
Source: RNAcentral